GUUUGCGUGAUGACUUGGGAUGUCGGAUACCCCUGCACUCCGCCAUGAGUGAGACUCCACGUCUGACAAAC
This is a small nucleolar RNA of Suncus etruscus (white-toothed pygmy shrew), 71 nucleotides long. RefSeq annotates it as small nucleolar RNA SNORD101. NCBI's taxonomy places the organism in Eukaryota, Metazoa, Chordata, Mammalia, Eulipotyphla, Soricidae. The transcript has a single exon. The record is from RefSeq and is a predicted model, not a curated record.